This 465-nucleotide ribosomal RNA is filed under the name Vreelandella stevensii. RNAcentral describes it as "partial 16S ribosomal RNA". It matches the Rfam family "Bacterial small subunit ribosomal RNA", at positions 338 to 795 of the family's 1533-position model. Lineage: Bacteria; Pseudomonadati; Pseudomonadota; Gammaproteobacteria; Oceanospirillales; Halomonadaceae. The record is from RNAcentral.
CCUACGGGAGGCUGCAGUGGGGAAUAUUGGACAAGGGGGGGAACCCUGAUCCAGCCAUGCCGCGUGUGUGAAGAAGGCCCUCGGGUUGUAAAGCACUUUCAGUGAGGAAGAACGCCUGGUGGUUAAUACCCAUCAGGAAAGACAUCACUCACAGAAGAAGCACCGGCUAACUCCGUGCCAGCAGCCGCGGUAAUACGGAGGGUGCGAGCGUUAAUCGGAAUUACUGGGCGUAAAGCGCGCGUAGGUGGCUUGAUAAGCCGGUUGUGAAAGCCCCGGGCUCAACCUGGGAACGGCAUCCGGAACUGUCAAGCUAGAGUGCAGGAGAGGAAGGUAGAAUUCCCGGUGUAGCGGUGAAAUGCGUAGAGAUCGGGAGGAAUACCAGUGGCGAAGGCGGCCUUCUGGACUGACACUGACACUGAGGUGCGAAAGCGUGGGUAGCAAACAGGAUUAGAUACCCCUGUAGUC